AACGCGAAGAACCUUACCAGGUCUUGACAUCCUCUGACAACCCUAGAGAUAGGGCUUCUCCUUCGGGAGCAGAGUGACAGGUGGUGCAUGGUUGUCGUCAGCUCGUGUCGUGAGAUGUUGGGUUAAGUCCCGCAACGAGCGCAACCCUUGAUCUUAGUUGCCAUCAUUUAGUUGGGCACUCUAAGGUGACUGCCGGUGACAAACCGGAGGAAGGUGGGGAUGACGCCAAACCAUCAUGCCCCUUAUGACCUGGGCUACACACGUGCUACAAUGGACGGUACAAAGAGCUGCAAGACCGCGAGGUGGAGCUAAUCUCAUAAAACCGUUCUCAGUUCGGAUUGUAGGCUGCAACUCGCCCACAUGAAGCUGGAAUCGCUAGUAAUCGCGGAUCAGCAUGCCGCGGUGAGUACGUUCCCGGGCCUUGUACACACCG
RNAcentral lists this ribosomal RNA (433 nucleotides) under uncultured bacterium. RNAcentral describes it as "bacterial SSU rRNA". It matches the Rfam family "Bacterial small subunit ribosomal RNA", at positions 958 to 1392 of the family's 1533-position model. The record is from RNAcentral.